AGAACGACUCUCGGCAACGGAUAUCUCGGCUCUCGCAUCGAUGAAGAACGUAGCAAACUGCGAUACUUGGUGUGAAUUGCAGAAUCCCGUGAACCAUCGAGUCUUUGAACGCAAGUUGCGCCCGAAGCCAUUAGGCCGAGGGCACGUCUGCCUGGGCGUCACGC
Molecule: ribosomal RNA, 164 nt
Filed under: Strychnos campicola
Lineage: Eukaryota; Viridiplantae; Streptophyta; Magnoliopsida; Gentianales; Loganiaceae
Description: 5.8S ribosomal RNA
Rfam family: 5.8S ribosomal RNA
About the family: 5.8S ribosomal RNA (5.8S rRNA) is a component of the large subunit of the eukaryotic ribosome.
Source: RNAcentral